This 492-nucleotide ribosomal RNA is filed under the name uncultured bacterium. Its description in RNAcentral is "partial 16S ribosomal RNA". It matches the Rfam family "Bacterial small subunit ribosomal RNA", at positions 29 to 507 of the family's 1533-position model. The record is from RNAcentral.
AGUGAACGCUGGCGGUAGGCCUAACACAUGCAAGUCGAACGGCAGCACAGUAAGAGCUUGCUCUUACGGGUGGCGAGUGGCGGACGGGUGAGGAAUACAUCGGAAUCUACUUUUUCGUGGGGGAUAACGUAGGGAAACUUACGCUAAUACCGCAUACGACCUACGGGUGAAAGCAGGGGAUCUUCGGACCUUGCGCGAUUGAAUGAGCCGCUGUCGGAUUAGCUAGUUGGCGGGGUAAAGGCCCACCAAGGCGACGAUCCGUAGCUGGUCUGAGAGGAUGAUCAGCCACACUGGAAGUGAGACACGGUCCAGACUCCUACGGGAGGCAGCAGUGGGGAAUAUUGGACAAUGGGCGCAAGCCUGAUCCAGCCAUACCGCGUGGGUGAAGAAGGCCUUCGGGUUGUAAAGCCCUUUUGUUGGGAAAGAAAAGCAGCAGGUUAAUACCCCGCUGUUCUGACGGUACCCAAAGAAUAAGCACCGGCUAACUUCGUG